UAAAAAUCUAAUGGCUUCGCAAUUUCUGGCAGCAGCGGCGGAGAAAUUUGGACCUGCCAUCAGGCGUCAGGCCCUCACCUUAACCGACGCGGCGGCUUCUAGAAUACGCUAUCUAUUGCAGCAGCGCCAACGGCCUUACCUCAAGCUCGGUGUCAAGGCUCGUGGCUGCAAUGGCUUAUCCUAUACCCUUAAUUACGCUGAUGAGAAAGGGAAAUUUGA
Molecule: unclassified non-coding RNA, 219 nt
Filed under: Hevea brasiliensis (rubber tree)
Lineage: Eukaryota; Viridiplantae; Streptophyta; Magnoliopsida; Malpighiales; Euphorbiaceae
Source: RNAcentral